GCCGGGUGUUGUGGCGGGCGCCUGUGGUCCCAGCUACUUGGGAGGCGGAGGCAGGAGACUCGCUUGAGCCCAGGAGUUGGAGGUUGCUGUGAGCUGUGAUGCCAUGGCACUCUACCCAGGGGGACAGCUUGAGGCUCUGUCUCAAAAAAAAAAAAAACAACCCUUGCAACACCUUGAUCUUGGAUGUCCAGUCUCCAGACCUAUGAGAAAAUAAAUUUCUUUUUUUGGAGACGGAGCCUCAAGCUAUCCCCCUGGGCAGAGUGCCGUGGCAUCACGCUCACAGCAACCUCCAACUCCUGGGCUCAAGCGAGUUUCCUGCCUCAG
This is a non-coding RNA of Otolemur garnettii (small-eared galago), 324 nucleotides long. The record is from Rfam. NCBI's taxonomy places the organism in Eukaryota, Metazoa, Chordata, Mammalia, Primates, Galagidae.